Molecule: ribosomal RNA, 450 nt
Filed under: uncultured Glomeromycotina
Lineage: Eukaryota; Fungi; Glomeromycota
Description: SSU rRNA
Rfam family: Eukaryotic small subunit ribosomal RNA
Source: RNAcentral
AGCAGCCGCGGUAAUUCCAGCUCCAAUAGCGUAUAUUAAAGUUGUUGCAGUUAAAAAGCUCGUAGUUGAAUUUCGGGAUUUAUCCGUCGGUCGGGCUUUUGGGUCUGUACUGGCGUGAUGGAUUCCUACCUUCUGAAUAACCGGCAUGUCAUUAAUUUGGUGCGCCGGGGAAGCAGGACUGUUACCUUGAAAAAAUUAGAGUGCUUAAAGCAGGCUUAUGCCUGAAUACAUUAGCAUGGAAUAAUGAAAUAGGACGGCAUGGUUCUAUUUUGUUGGUUUCUAGGAUCACCGUAAUGAUUAAUAGGGAUAGUUGGGGGCAUUAGUAUUCAAUUGUCAGAGGUGAAAUUCUUGGAUUUAUUGAAGACUAACUACUGCGAAAGCAUUUGCCAAGGAUGUUUUCAUUAAUCAAGAACGAAAGUUAGGGGAUCGAAGACGAUCAGAUACCGUCGU